RNAcentral lists this ribosomal RNA (497 nucleotides) under uncultured bacterium. RNAcentral's name for it is "partial 16S ribosomal RNA". It matches the Rfam family "Bacterial small subunit ribosomal RNA", at positions 28 to 507 of the family's 1533-position model. The record is from RNAcentral.
GAUGAACGCUGGCGGCGUGCCUAAUACAUGCAAGUCGAGCGAACAGAUGAGGAGCUUGCUCCUCUGACGUUAGCGGCGGACGGGUGAGUAACACGUGGAUAACCUACCUAUAAGACUGGGAUAACUUCGGGAAACCGGAGCUAAUACCGGAUAAUAUAUUGAACCGCAUGGUUCAAUAGUGAAAGACGGUUUUGCUGUCACUUAUAGAUGGAUCCGCGCCGCAUUAGCUAGUUGGUAAGGUAACGGCUUACCAAGGCAACGAUGCGUAGCCGACCUGAGAGGGUGAUCGGCCACACUGGAACUGAGACACGGUCCAGACUCCUACGGGAGGCAGCAGUAGGGAAUCUUCCGCAAUGGGCGAAAGCCUGACGGAGCAACGCCGCGUGAGUGAUGAAGGUCUUCGGAUCGUAAAACUCUGUUAUUAGGGAAGAACAAAUGCGUAAGUAACUAUGCACGUCUUGACGGUACCUAAUCAGAAAGCCACAGCUAACUACGUG